This 1211-nucleotide long non-coding RNA is filed under the name Homo sapiens (human). RNAcentral's name for it is "long intergenic non-protein coding RNA 1460". Lineage: Eukaryota; Metazoa; Chordata; Mammalia; Primates; Hominidae. The record is from RNAcentral.
GGGGCUGUGUAGCAGAGCGCCCAGCUGGACGAAUCUCCCAGCCAGUUGGGGAGCCCCUCUGAGGGUCAUUCCUGCGGAUGUGGCCGUCGGGAGGACCAGCCCGUUUGCAGACCAAGCUUUUGCUUCCUCUCAUCCCUCCUGAGGAAGACCCUGGGAAAGGAAUGCUCUUCCUGCGGGCCCUUCCUCAGACACCAGGCAAACGGGUGAAGGUGCAGAGACCACCUCAUAAUUCCGUGUGUGUUCCUUGACGGAAGGGGCAGCAGAGCACCCAGCACUGGAUACUCAGUGUCAGAUGAGUGAACAAGCAAAUGGCUGAUGUCUGGUUUCAAUGUUUGCCUACGAGGAGAUGUACUCCGCUCCCAGCUCUUAGCCUCACCAUGCAGUGGAAGGGAAGGAGGCUUCUGAACUGGCAGCUCUACAUUCUUCCCCUCUCUGUGCAACUUGUUUAGAUCACAGAACUGGAAGGGACCCCAAAAAUCCCAUUCUCCCACCCCUCCGAUUAGAGAGGAAGAAACAGAGGCCCAGACUCAACAGACUUGCCAAAACCCAUGGACCUGGUUGGGGGCCCACAUCUAGCACUUUCCCCAGCCUCACAGCCUGCCUUGUUUAUUUGUUCAGCAGUUUUUGUUUCGCCAUGGCACAGCUUGUUCCGACUCUGGAACAUUUAUGAGAUGAGCCAAUUUUUAAAAAUCAUAGAAAAUAAAUGGUUUGCUCUUGGAGCUGAAGGGCGGGGCAGCCAGGGUGGGAGACAGGUUCCAGGCCAGUUCUGGGGCAGAAUUUUGGCUUAUCCUUUGCUGUGUUUUUUUAUUCUCCUGCCUUGGGAACCAAAAGGAUUUCAGUGGGAUUUCCUGCCUCGAUUUCUCCAGUACUAUGAUAUGGAAAGACUAGAACAUUCAACCAUACACUUUCUGAUUCUCACCUCCACCAUCAUUAGUUCCAUUCCAAACUCUGGCUCCUACCCAUUGAGUUCAAGCUACAGCCUGAUUCAACUGAUCAACCUGGGGAUGGUGGUGUCAGGACUAGCACCUGGACCAUUCUGCCUCCUCUGCCUGCAACAUCCUCUCUAUCUGCUUGUGAACUCUUCUCCUUCAAAACCCAGCGGUUACGUCACCACUUCUAAAACCUUGAACUGAUUCCCCACGUAGUCGGCCAGCUACUUUUUAAAUUUAAAAAAGCCCAACCAGAAUAAACAGGAUAGCUAAAAUGCUGAA